CGCGAAGAACCUUACCUGGUCUUGACAUCCACGGAAGUUUUCAGAGAUGAGAAUGUGCCUUCGGGAACCGUGAGACAGGUGCUGCAUGGCUGUCGUCAGCUCGUGUUGUGAAAUGUUGGGUUAAGUCCCGCAACGAGCGCAACCCUUAUCCUUUGUUGCCAGCGGUCCGGCCGGGGACUCAAAGGAGACUGCCAGUGAUAAACUGGAGGAAGGUGGGGAUGACGUCAAGUCAUCAUGGCCCUUACGACCAGGGCUACACACGUGCUACAAUGGCGCAUACAAAGAGAAGCGACCUCGCGAGAGCAAGCGGACCUCAUAAAGUGCGUCGUAGUCCGGAUUGGAGUCUGCAACUCGACUCCAUGAAGUCGGAAUCGCUAGUAAUCGUGGAUCAGAAUGCCACGGUGAAUACGUUCCCGGGUCUUGUACACACC
Molecule: ribosomal RNA, 431 nt
Filed under: uncultured bacterium
Lineage: Bacteria
Description: bacterial SSU rRNA
Rfam family: Bacterial small subunit ribosomal RNA
Source: RNAcentral